AGUGAACGCUGGCGGUAGGCCUAACACAUGCAAGUCGAACGGCAGCACAGUAAGAGCUUGCUCUUACGGGUGGCGAGUGGCGGACGGGUGAGGAAUACAUCGGAAUCUACUUUUUCGUGGGGGAUAACGUAGGGAAACUUACGCUAAUACCGCAUACGACCUACGGGUGAAAGCAGGGGAUCUUCGGACCUUGCGCGAUUGAAUGAGCCGAUGUCGGAUUAGCUAGUUGGCGGGGUAAAGGCCCACCAAGGCGACGAUCCGUAGCUGGUCUGAGAGGAUGAUAAGCCACACUGGAACUGGGACACGGUCCAGGCUCCUACGGGAGGCAGCAGUGGGGAAUAUUGGACAAUGGGCGCAAGCCUGAUCCAGCCAUACCGCGUGGGUGAAGAAGGCCUUCGGGUUGUAAAGCCCUUUUGUUGGGAAAGAAAAGCAGCAGGUUAAUACCCCGCUGUUCUGACGGUACCCAACGAAUAAGCACCGGCUAACUUCGUG
RNAcentral lists this ribosomal RNA (492 nucleotides) under uncultured bacterium. RNAcentral's name for it is "partial 16S ribosomal RNA". It matches the Rfam family "Bacterial small subunit ribosomal RNA", at positions 29 to 507 of the family's 1533-position model. The record is from RNAcentral.